RNAcentral lists this long non-coding RNA (223 nucleotides) under Ananas comosus (pineapple). Its description in RNAcentral is "long non-coding RNA (ACOM_LNC019079)". Lineage: Eukaryota; Viridiplantae; Streptophyta; Magnoliopsida; Poales; Bromeliaceae. The record is from RNAcentral.
AGGAUAUAUAACUUAAGUAUUAUUGGAACCAGAUAGAUCGCCCGUCAGGUCGUUACAUCUUAUGUCUUCUCUAGAUAAAAAAAUUAAGAAUUUUAUGGUGAAUUUCAUAUUUUUCUUGUUCUAAUGAAAACACCAAAAAAAUAUCUUUUUUUUUCGUAAAAUCAAGAAGACCAAAUUAGAAAAGCAUAGAAAUCUCUGACCAAAAUUUUUUAUACUCUUGCUU